CUCAAGUCAGUACUCAGCUGGACAUUGGGAAGAGCUGGUUGAUGCUGUGCUGUAUGGCAGCUAUUCUGGAAAUUCCUACUAUAUUGGAUUCAAGAUUUGGCAUUCAAGCUUUGGCUAGAAGUACAAGGAUCCUGGACUAUGUGGAAUAAAUGAUGUCUUGUUGGAUGGAGACUCCAUCUAGGGCUAGUCCAUGUACCUGCAGCAAAUUUGCUGCUUCGUUUUGGCCCCUCAUCUGCUUCUUCCUUCCAAAGGAAGCAUCUUCAUCAGUUACAAAGGCAGGUAGGUGGUGUGAGAACAUAGGAACAUGCUGGACCCCAGUUUCCCAAAUCAGGAUGAGUGCUCCAUCAUGGUCCAGUUUAAUGGGUGACCACCCAUUGAUUUCCCCUAUAUUGUCUGAUGCUCACCUCCUAUUGUUGUAUGAGGCUUUCCUAGGACAGACUGGAUGAUGUAUCAUUGAGACACUGUCUACACGAUCAGAGAACUUGGAAUCUCACAGCCAGUCACUGGCCCCUUAAGGCUCAGUCUGGCCAUGUAAUCCCAACCCCUUCCUCCAAUCAGUUGAAGUUUCCAGCUUCUGGCAGUUUAUCAGCUCUCGGCUUCUUGGCUGACCCUGUGACGUCUGAGUACGAUCUUUUAAUCCAGAAAGAGGCUUAAAGAGUUUACAAACUCUCGGAACGAAGCACAGCCCUGCCGAACCCUGCGUCCUCCCUGGUCUGGAAGACAAUCACAUAGUGCGAGGUGAACGUGUGAACUGAAGACCAUGUGGCAGCCCUACAAAUGUCCUGAAUGGGGACAUGGGCCAAAAAGGCAGCUGACGAAGCCUACGCCUGAGUCGAAUGUGCCUUCACAAUUAAUGGUGGAGGGAUUCCCGACAGGUCAUAAGAGGUACAGAUUCACGAGGUGAUCCAGUUGGAGAGCUGCUGAGUGGAGAUCGGCUGACCUUUCAUGCGCUCGGCCAAGGACCUUGCCGAUCAGUGGGAAUGGGGAGAAGGCAUAGAGAAACUGGCCUGACCAGGACAGGAGAAAGGCAUCGGAGAUAGUGCCCCGUCACGCCCCCACCCCGGAGCAGAAUCGGGGGCAGCGACAGUUCUGCCGAAUCACGAACAGGUCCACCUGGGGAGUUCCCCACACUUGGAAAAGUCUGUGCAUCACCUCUGAGUGGAGAGACCACUCGUGCUGAGAGGAGAAGUCCCUGCUUAAGCGAUCUGCGCGCGCGUUCCGGGCGCCCAGCAGAUGGAAGGCCUGUAGGAGGAUGUUGUGGGCUAUACAAAAAUCCCACAGCCUGAGGGCUUUGUGGCAGAGGGAAGAGGAUUGAGCCCCACCUUGCCUGUUGAUGUAGAACAUUGAGGCCGUGUUGUCCGUGAGGACCCUGACCACCCAGCCCUCCAGGUGUGAGCGGAAGGCCAUGCACGCCCACCGUACUGCCCUGAGCUCCUUGACGUUUAUGUGGAAGGCCCAAAGUUGUGCAUGUGGAGAGGAGAAGCACCAUGUGAUCCCGCACCUGCGACCAGGAGCUGCCCUUGACCAACCAGUCAUCCAGACUGGGGAAGAUCUGGACCCCUCGGCACCUGAGAGCUUUGCCGUCAAAUGGGAGGUCCUGCAGGGAGGUCUGCGCCUCCCUGGACAGCCCAGAGAGCAGGAGCCAUGACGCCCUUCUCAUGGACACCGCGGAGGCCAUGGACCAUACAGCCGUGUCUGCUACAUCCAAAGCUGCCUGCAGGGUUGCCCUGGCAGUCGCUGUGCCCUCCUCUACCAGCGCUUUGAACUCCUUCCUGUCACGCUUCUGGAGGGAGUCCUUGAACUUGGGCAGGGAGCCCCACAGAUUGAACUCAUACCGGCACAGGAGAGCUUGGUGGUUCGCCACCCAUAACUGGAAGCUUGAGGACGAAUACAUUUUCCUUCCAAAAGAGUCCAGCCUCCUUGAAUCUUUAUUUUUUGGGGUAGGGGCUGACUGGCCCUGCCGUUCCCUGUGGUUGACCGACUCGACCACCAGGGAGUUAGGAGCAGGGUGGGUGUAUAAGUAUUCAUGCCCCUUGGCAGGUACAAAAUACGUGCGUUCUGCUCUCUUAGAGAUGGGAACCAAUGAAGCUGGGGUUUGCCACAGGGCAUUUGAAAUUUUUGCUACCUCUUCAUGGAGAGGCAAGGCUACCCUGCCCAGUGCCGAGGAGGACAACACGUUAAACAGGGACUCUGAGGGCUCCAUUUCCUCUGCUUGGAGGUGGAGGCUAGAUGCCACCCUUUUCAAGAGUUCUUGGUGGGCCCUACAGUCCUCCUGCGGGAUGGAGAGAGGAGGGGCCGUAAUCGCCUCGUCCAGGGAGGGUGAGGAGGCCAGCGCGGUACUUUGGGUAUCCACUGGUACUGGAGGGUCCACCACCUGGUUGGUCUCCGGGCACGGUGCCGAGGAUGUAUGUCCCACCGACUCCUUCUUCGGAGGUCUGGAGAGGGAGGCUGAUGGUCCUUCUCAGGCUCUGGCCACCGAGUGAGUCCCCACUGGGGGCUGUGUCGUGGGCUACAGUGCCUACUGGUACCAUUGGGCCAGCCACGGUGCCCAGUGCUACUGCACCUGCUGUGGCACCAGCAGAGCCGGCUGUUCGGCCUGGCUGGCCUGACCCAUCGAUGGACGACUACAAAGGGAGGCUGGGCUGACAUAUGACCUGC
This is a long non-coding RNA of Mauremys reevesii (Reeves's turtle), 2658 nucleotides long. RefSeq lists it as uncharacterized. The record is from RefSeq and is a predicted model, not a curated record. The transcript has 11 exons. NCBI's taxonomy places the organism in Eukaryota, Metazoa, Chordata, Testudines, Geoemydidae.